UACGAAUCGUCCAAACGUUGUUCGGAUUCACUGGGUUUAAAGGGCGCGUAGGCGGUGCGUUAAGUCGGCGGUGAAAUACUUCGGCUCAACCGGAGAAUUGCCGCUGAAACUAGCGUGCUCGAGGAAGGUAGAGGUGCGUGGAACUUCCGGUGGAGCGGUGAAAUGCGUUGAUAUCGGAAGGAACACCUGUGGCGAAAGCGAUGCACUGGACCUUUUCUGACGCUGAGGCGCGAAAGCCAGGGGAGCGAAC
This 250-nucleotide ribosomal RNA is filed under the name uncultured bacterium. RNAcentral's name for it is "partial 16S ribosomal RNA". It matches the Rfam family "Bacterial small subunit ribosomal RNA", at positions 524 to 773 of the family's 1533-position model. The record is from RNAcentral.